RNAcentral lists this non-coding RNA (623 nucleotides) under Hymenolepis diminuta. RNAcentral describes it as "Eukaryotic large subunit ribosomal RNA". It matches the Rfam family "Eukaryotic large subunit ribosomal RNA", at positions 768 to 1366 of the family's 3401-position model. The record is from Rfam by way of RNAcentral. Lineage: Eukaryota; Metazoa; Platyhelminthes; Cestoda; Cyclophyllidea; Hymenolepididae.
GUUUACUUGUGCGUCAUUGAACAGAGAGGGAGCACAUGCUUUGAGACCCGAAAAUGGUGAACUAGACUUGCGUAGGUUGAAGAUAGAGAAAACCCAGUGGAGGAUGGUAGAGAUUCAAACAAACAACUCGAUCGUCAAAAGUGGGUAAUGAGGUGAAAGACUAAUCAACCUAUUUUGUAGCUGGUUUCCUCUGAAGUGUCCCUCAGGAUAACCGGCACUCAUACUCAUAAUCGCUUUUAUCAGGUAAUGGAAAUGAUUAGAGGCAUUGCAUCUGAAAUGAAUUCUACAUAUUCACAAGCUCUAAUAGUGUGAGAUGAUAGACUCGUCUAAUACGAAUGUUUUUAUUUUACAACGCUGAGUCUGGAAUUGAAUGUGCCAGCGCCGAGUUGGCCACCGUUUAUAGACAGAACUGGCCCUGUGAGAUGAACCAAAAGUGGUGUUAAAGUGCCUAACACUGAAUUUCAUUAAAUAGCACAAAAAGUAUUGAUUCAUGCAGACAACAGAACGGUGGUCAGGGAAAUCGACACCUCCUGAGGAGUGUGCAACAAUUCACUCCCGAAGUCACGAACCCUGAAAAUGAAUGAUGCAAAAGCGUUGGAUCUACAUCGCCCCAUCAUCACAAG